This 759-nucleotide ribosomal RNA is filed under the name Cryptosporidium bovis. Its description in RNAcentral is "SSU rRNA". It matches the Rfam family "Eukaryotic small subunit ribosomal RNA", at positions 240 to 1046 of the family's 1831-position model. Lineage: Eukaryota; Apicomplexa; Conoidasida; Eucoccidiorida; Cryptosporidiidae. The record is from RNAcentral.
UUUUUGGUGACUCAUAAUAACUUUACGGAUCACAUUAUGUGACAUAUCAUUCAAGUUUCUGACCUAUCAGCUUUAGACGGUAGGGUAUUGGCCUACCGUGGCUAUGACGGGUAACGGGGAAUUAGGGUUCGAUUCCGGAGAGGGAGCCUGAGAAACGGCUACCACAUCUAAGGAAGGCAGCAGGCGCGCAAAUUACCCAAUCCUAAUACAGGGAGGUAGUGACAAGAAAUAACAAUACAGAACCUUACGGUUUUGUAAUUGGAAUGAGUUAAGUAUAAACCCCUUAACAAGUAUCAAUUGGAGGGCAAGUCUGGUGCCAGCAGCCGCGGUAAUUCCAGCUCCAAUAGCGUAUAUUAAAGUUGUUGCAGUUAAAAAGCUCGUAGUUAAUCUUCUGUUAAUUUUUAUAUAUAAUAUUUCGAUAUUUAUAUAAUAUUAACAUAAUUCAUAUUACUUUUUAGUAUAUGAAACUUUACUUUGAGAAAAUUAGAGUGCUUAAAGCAGGCUAUUGCCUUGAAUACUCCAGCAUGGAAUAAUAUUAAGGAUUUUUAUUCUUCUUAUUGGUUCUAGAAUAAAAAUGAUGAUUAAUAGGAACAGUUGGGGGCAUUUGUAUUUAACAGUCAGAGGUGAAAUUCUUAGAUUUGUUAAAGACAAACUACUGCGAAAGCAUUUGCCAAGGAUGUUUUCAUUAAUCAAGAACGAAAGUUAGGGGAUCGAAGACGAUCAGAUACCGUCGUAGUCUUAACCAUAAACUAUGCCAAC